CAACCGGAUAGCAUGCCAGCUCCAGGCUUGUGGCCGUUUCAUAACCAGCCCUUUCAUGUGUUAUGUGUGAAGUUUGAAAUAAAGCCGUCUUUGACCACCACACUACAGAAACGAUGGUUUUGAUUCCAGGGUAAGGAAUGAACACGUUUUCCCGGAGAAACAUGCGCUUAGACUUGGUGGUAAAGAGAUCACGGUCUCACUGGCCGUGCGUUCUUGGGAAUUCUGCUGAUUUGUCAAAACACGACUGAUGCUCAGAAAGCUGACGAGGCGCAUGUGUCUCACAUCUUCAUAUCAGAAAUCCCGCUCCUUCUCCGUUCUGAAUUUACUGAGCCAGAGUCCACGUAAGAACAAACUGCGGUCCCCUCGGUGACACGGCACAAGACAGCCUUGUAGGUUGUGGGAUAUGCCGAACCACAAAGUCCUGAAAGGAGACUAUUAUCUCUAUUCUAUGGAUGAAUCAGCUUGCCCGGAUUCCCAAACCUUGGUGAUGGAGCCAGGAUUUGUGCCCAGAUCAGUCUGAUUUCCAGGUCCCUGCUUCUCCACUGAUGGGGAAAAGUCUCUGAUCUGUGGAAAGGGGAGGCAUAUGUAGGAGAAUGGUAAAAAAUGAAGAUGAAGUUAAUCUGUUGUUAGAAUAUGUUAAGGACCUCGGAUGGUACUCUAUACCAUAAGACAAGUGAAGAUAUUAAAAAUUCUUACCCAGGGGAGUGAUUCUUUGAAAGUAUUCAUUUAGGAAAUUGAAUCUGAAUAGAUUGAAAAAAGAGAAAGAAGGAGAUCAUGUAACAAUCAUCGUAACAUUUCUGAGCUGAGAUAAAUGGAAAUGAAAGAAGAAGGAACAGGAAGAAUGGUAGUUUAAAAAUGGGAGAAUUAUUGGAUUAUUGUAGGGCAAAGUCAGGAGGAAGAUGCAGCCUUAAUACUAUUGUCCAUUGUCUCCUGGUGUGCCCAUGUCCUUUUUUUGUUGUAUCUGUGGUACCUGUUUCUGAUUAGAGUCCCUAUUCUCAACACACACAUUCACAUCACACACACACACACACACACACACACACACACAC
Long non-coding RNA from Leopardus geoffroyi (Geoffroy's cat), 1049 nucleotides. RefSeq lists it as uncharacterized. The record is from RefSeq and is a predicted model, not a curated record. The transcript has 4 exons. NCBI's taxonomy places the organism in Eukaryota, Metazoa, Chordata, Mammalia, Carnivora, Felidae.